AUGAUGAUUAAAGUGCGCCUUCCGAAUAAUCAUCUUUCCAUGGGAUGGUUGGAAUACUAUGACUUAAAUUACAAUGUUGCUGUUAUCAGCGUCGCGGCCUUCCAUGUUUUUCGCGCAGCAUUUCUAGAUCAUCAGCGGCAAUUUGAGUCUCAUAGUGAAGUAGUUGCUGUUGGGCGUUGCUUCGACUCAGGCAAAUUAAUGGUCACAACUGGGAUGUUGACUGACAAUGGGAAGAGAAUUUACCGCGAGGAGCUUGCGAUCUCCACAUGUGAAAUUACUAUGACUGGAGUUGGAGGGCCCCUUUUUUAUUUUAAUGGUGACUUUGUCGGGAUGAACUUUUAUUCUAAGGAAGAGACUCCAUUCCUACCAAGGAAUAAAAUUCUUGAACUUUUGAUGCAUUUUAGGAGAACACCCCCGUGCUGGAAAAAUGGAAAUGAUGGAAAGUUCAAUCUAGAUUGCACUUGGGACACAAGUAAGAAAAGAGGUAGUAAAACUGAAAGAGGCGCAAGCAAGGCACGAGUAUCUCCUGAAUCUCACAAGUCCGAUUUAGAAGGCAGCUCAAGGCAGGAGAUGGAAAAUAAAAAGCACAAACCUUCCAUAUGUACUAUAUGUGACCCAGAACUUAAUUCAGGACUCGAGGAUACAUUACUAGAGAGUCUGCCUUCUAUUCGUCGGUGGCCGUAUGACUGGGGUCUCGUAUCCCUGGAUGCUAGAAGAGAUAUGUUCAGGUCACGUGGUUACCCCUUACCAGUUCUGGAGGACGGAGAAGCGAGGCUUUUUGCUUGCACAGGUGUAUUCAUAGACUGCAAUGGGUUCACCACAAGAGUUCUGACCUCGGGGAAUUUGAUUAGAAGUAAUGACGAUGAAAGCAAGGUUGCUGAUAACUUAAAGAUUGAAGUGCACCUUCCAGAUAAACGACAUGUCCCAGGGAUGUUGCAACAUUACGAUCUGCAUUAUAAUGUUGCCGUCAUCAUCAUAAAUAAAUUUCGCUGUACUCGGACAGCAAUUAUUGACAAUAAGGUGAAAAUUGGCACUCAUUCGGAGGUACUAGCCAUAGGGCGUGUCUAUGAAUCAGGAAAAUUAAUGGCUGCAAGUGGGGUAGUGAUCAACAAAGAAAGUGAACUCGACUGUAAAGAUCUUAGGAUCUCCACUUGUCAAAUCACAAAGGCUGGGAUUGGAGGCCCUCUUAUAGAUUCUAAUGCAAACUUUAUUGGGAUGAACUUCCAUGGCUUGGAAGAAACUCCCUACACACCACGGGAUACAAUUCUGAAACUCUUGGAGAAUUUUGAUGCAGAAGGAUGGCAUGUGCCUAAGCCAUAUUGGUGCUAUCCUUCGUGGCAUGAACGAAAGGAGGGAACAGAUUUACUGGAAUUUCUUGAUCAAGAAUUCCGCUAUGACUAA
RNAcentral lists this ribosomal RNA (1401 nucleotides) under Triticum aestivum (bread wheat). RNAcentral describes it as "partial small subunit ribosomal RNA". The record is from RNAcentral. Lineage: Eukaryota; Viridiplantae; Streptophyta; Magnoliopsida; Poales; Poaceae.